RNAcentral lists this ribosomal RNA (400 nucleotides) under phytoplankton environmental sample. RNAcentral's name for it is "partial small subunit ribosomal RNA". It matches the Rfam family "Eukaryotic small subunit ribosomal RNA", at positions 587 to 979 of the family's 1831-position model. The record is from RNAcentral.
AGCUCCAAUAGCGUAUAUUAAAGUUGUUGCAGUUAAAAAGCUCGUAGUUGGAUCUCAGGCGCCGGCGGACGGUCCCUUUAACGAGGGCUACUGUCCGCUCCGGCCCUACCCGCCGGUGUGUCGAGGGUGCUCUUGACUGAGUGCCCCCGGCGGCCGGAACGUUUACUUUGAAAAAAUUAGAGUGUUCAAAGCAGGCAUUCAUCGUGCCCGAAUACAUGAGCAUGGAAUAAUGGAACAGGACUACGGUCACUGCACUUUUUCCGUUGGUUUCGGAGGACCGAAGUAAUGAUUAAGAGGGACAGUUGGGGGCAUCCGUAUUUCGUAGUCAGAGGUGAAAUUCUUGGAUCUGCGAAAGACGAACGAGUGCGAAAGCAUUUGCCAAGAGUGUUUUCAUUAAUCA